This 785-nucleotide ribosomal RNA is filed under the name Veronaeopsis simplex. RNAcentral describes it as "eukaryotic LSU rRNA". It matches the Rfam family "Eukaryotic large subunit ribosomal RNA", at positions 71 to 883 of the family's 3401-position model. Lineage: Eukaryota; Fungi; Ascomycota; Dothideomycetes; Venturiales; Sympoventuriaceae. The record is from RNAcentral.
GGGAUUGCCCCAGUAACGGCGAGUGAAGCGGCAACAGCUCAAAUUUGAAAUCUGGUACCUUCGGUGCCCGAGUUGUAAUUUGUAGAGGGUGUCUCGGGGGGAGUGCCGGUCCAAGUCCCUUGGAACAGGAUGUCAUAGAGGGUGAGAACCCCGUAUCCGGCUGGUCACUCCGUCCAUGUGAGACCCCUUCGACGAGUCGAGUUGUUUGGGAAUGCAGCUCUAAAUGGGUGGUAAAUUCCAUCUAAAGCUAAAUACCGGCCAGAGACCGAUAGCGCACAAGUAGAGUGAUCGAAAGAUGAAAAGCACUUUGAAAAGAGAGUCAAACAGUACGUGAAAUUGUUGAAAGGGAAGCGUAUGCGGCCAGACUUGCCCGCGGUUGCUCAGCCUGUCUUCUGGCAGGUGUACUCUUCCGCGGUCAGGCCAGCAUCGGUUUGGGCGGUCGGACAAAGGCGCUGGGAAUGUGGCCCCUCGGGGUGUUAUAGCCCAGCGUGCAAUGCGACCCGCCCGGACCGAGGCCCGCGUUCUGCUAGGAUGCUGGCGUAAUGGCCGUAUACGGCCCGUCUUGAAACACGGACCAAGGAGUCUAACAUCUAUGCGAGUGUUUGGGUGUCAAGCCCGGGCGCGCAAUGAAAGUGAACGGAGGUGGGAGCUUCGGCGCACCAUCGACCGAUCCUGAUGUCUUCGGAAGGAUUUGAGUAAGAGCAUAGCUGAUAGGACCCGAAAGAUGGUGAACUAUGCGUGAAUAGGGUGAAGCCAGAGGAAACUCUGGUGGAGGCUCGCAGCGG